UGUGAGAAGGUGAAGGCCUUUCCAGGGUCCCCAACCUUGGCUCUGCCCCCUUCACCCC
RNAcentral lists this microRNA precursor (58 nucleotides) under Mesocricetus auratus (golden hamster). RNAcentral describes it as "miRNA (ENSMAUG00000003456.1)". The record is from RNAcentral. Lineage: Eukaryota; Metazoa; Chordata; Mammalia; Rodentia; Cricetidae.